CAUUAAGUGGCUGAAAAUAAGCAUUGGUCUCUUAAACCAAUAUAUAGUAAUUAAUGACUACUCUUAAUGG
RNAcentral lists this transfer RNA (70 nucleotides) under unidentified. RNAcentral's name for it is "Exostira schroederi tRNA-Lys". The record is from RNAcentral.